UACGUAGGUGGCAAGCGUUGUCCGGAUUUACUGGGCGUAAAGAGCGCGCAGGCGGUCGUUCAAGUCGCGUGUGAAAGCCCCCGGCUCAACUGGGGAGGGUCACGCGAUACUGAUCGACUCGAAGGAAGGAGAGGGUAGUGGAAUUCCCGGUGUAGUGGUGAAAUGCGUAGAUAUCGGGAGGAACACCGGUGGCGAAGGCGGCCAUCUGGACCGCAACUGACGCUGAGGCGCGAAAGCGUGGGGAGCAAACAGG
Molecule: ribosomal RNA, 253 nt
Filed under: uncultured bacterium
Lineage: Bacteria
Description: partial 16S ribosomal RNA
Rfam family: Bacterial small subunit ribosomal RNA
Source: RNAcentral